UUACCCAAAACGAACAUUUGCCAUAUAUUGAUUUAAGACGAAGAAGAAUGAACAGAUUGAAUGUGUGUACCUUGUUUUCUGCCACGGCUGUGUUGGAGAAAACAUCUGCCACUAAAGAUGCUACCUGGGAUUUUGCAACCUAAACAAAGUGUUCACAA
Molecule: long non-coding RNA, 158 nt
Organism: Hibiscus syriacus
Lineage: Eukaryota; Viridiplantae; Streptophyta; Magnoliopsida; Malvales; Malvaceae
Exons: 4
Source: RefSeq, a predicted model, not a curated record